This 473-nucleotide ribosomal RNA is filed under the name Escherichia coli. Its description in RNAcentral is "bacterial SSU rRNA". It matches the Rfam family "Bacterial small subunit ribosomal RNA", at positions 1 to 470 of the family's 1533-position model. The record is from RNAcentral. Lineage: Bacteria; Pseudomonadati; Pseudomonadota; Gammaproteobacteria; Enterobacterales; Enterobacteriaceae.
AAAUUGAAGAGUUUGAUCAUGGCUCAGAUUGAACGCUGGCGGCAGGCCUAACACAUGCAAGUCGAACGGUAACAGGAAGAAGCUUGCUUCUUUGUUGACGAGUGGCGGACGGGUGAGUAAUGUCUGGGAAACUGCCUGAUGGAGGGGGAUAACUACUGGAAACGGUAGCUAAUACCGCAUAACGUCGCAAGACCAAAGAGGGGGACCUUCGGGCCUCUUGCCAUCGGAUGUGCCCAGAUGGGAUUAGCUAGUAGGUGGGGUAACGGCUCACCUAGGCGACGAUCCCUAGCUGGUCUGAGAGGAUGACCAGCCACACUGGAACUGAGACACGGUCCAGACUCCUACGGGAGGCAGCAGUGGGGAAUAUUGCACAAUGGGCGCAAGCCUGAUGCAGCCAUGCCGCGUGUAUGAAGAAGGCCUUCGGGUUGUAAAGUACUUUCAGCGGGGAGGAAGGGAGUAAAGUUAAUACCUUU